Molecule: transfer RNA, 85 nt
Filed under: Gonyostomum semen
Lineage: Eukaryota; Raphidophyceae; Chattonellales; Vacuolariaceae
Description: tRNA-Leu
Rfam family: tRNA
About the family: Transfer RNA (tRNA) molecules are approximately 80 nucleotides in length. Their secondary structure includes four short double-helical elements and three loops (D, anti-codon, and T loops). Further hydrogen bonds mediate the characteristic L-shaped molecular structure. tRNAs have two regions of fundamental functional importance: the anti-codon, which is responsible for specific mRNA codon recognition, and the 3' end, to which the tRNAs corresponding amino acid is attached (by aminoacyl-tRNA synthetases). tRNAs cope with the degeneracy of the genetic code in two manners: having more than one tRNA (with a specific anti-codon) for a particular amino acid; and 'wobble' base-pairing, i.e. permitting non-standard base-pairing at the 3rd anti-codon position.
Source: RNAcentral
GGGGGUGUGGUGAAAUGGUAGACACAAUGGACUUAAAAUCCAUCGACUUUCAAAGGUCAUGGGGGUUCAAGUCCCCCUGCCCCUA